Macaca fascicularis (crab-eating macaque) is the source of this 2380-nucleotide long non-coding RNA. The record is from Ensembl. Lineage: Eukaryota; Metazoa; Chordata; Mammalia; Primates; Cercopithecidae.
UCAGAAUAAGCAGUUUAAGUUUUAUUUGGUAGGUUAUCACAGAAAUGAAGAACUUUUAGUAGGUAUGUGUGUUCAGAUGUGUAUUACAACAUUAAUGAUUGUAUAAAGUAAUAGCAGCUAACAUUAUGUACCCAGAACUGUUCCAAGUGCUUUACAUGUACUCAGUCGCUUAACCCUACAUCAACCUUAUAAAAUUGGUACUAAUGUGUUCAUUACCACUGGGAAUUUUGAAGCACCCAAAACAAAAAUGAUUCGCCCUCAAUUCAAACUCCGGUAAUGUAGCUCCAGAUGCUACGCUCUCUUUUUACCUAGGAAAAUUCUGGAAAAAAAUACUCUGGUAAGCACUGCAGAUGUCUUUGUCAGUACUGAGCCUGGAAGAUAGUUUUGAAGCCACUGCAACCAUCAAUGAAGGACUGAAUCAAGGCCGGCGCGGUGGCUCACACCUGUAAUCCAACACUUUGGGAGCCCGAGGUGGGUGGAUCAUGAGGUCAGGAGUUCGAGACCAGGCUGGCCAACAUGGUGAAACCCAUCUCUACUAAAAAUACAAAAAUUAGCCAGGCGUGGUGGCAGGCUCCUGUAAUCUCAGCUACUUGGGAGGCUGAGGCAGGAGAAUCGUUUGAAACUGGGAAGGUGAAGGUUGCAGUGAGCCGAGAUCGUGUCACUGCACUCUAGCCCGGACAACAAGAGUGAAAUUCCGUCUCAAAAAAAAAAAGGACUGAAUCAAGGCCAUGGAAAUGCAAAUUUCAGUUAUAUUUAGUAAGUAAAAAUCCUAACCACUUUGUUACUAAGGGAUGUUACGAGAGCAAAAGAGAAUAGUUUCCUAGUCUCUAACUUGGGAAAUGGAAAGAAUGGGAAUGUCAACCACUGGGAAAAGAGAAAACAUUUUUGGUGGGAAUUUGGAAGAGAAAAUAUAGAGAUUAAGCUUAAGAUGCUUAUAGGGUAUCUAGGUAGAAAGUUAGGCAGACCUGGGUAUCAAAGGUGUACUCACUGGUAUGUUGGUCCUAAGGGAGCUCAUGUGGGCAAGAACACAUGUGAAUAGAUGGAACCACAUGGGAAGUUGUAAAAUUCAGAGAAGAAACACCGAUGAUGGGCACAGGAGAGUGGUUUGUAAAGUCAAGGGAGUAGUUUCAAGAAAGUAGUCACUAACAUUAAAUGUUGUGGUGCUAUCAAGUAAGACAAGCAGUGAAAAUGGCUGCUAAAUUUGGUCAAUAGAUCACUGGUGACUUUGGAAAGAAAUUUCAAUGGAUUGGUGGGGUAAAAAGCAAACGAUAGUGCACUAAGGAAUAAGAGAUGAAGAAACUGAAAUAAAUGAAAACACUCUUUCCAAAGAUCAUUCUACAAAAGAACAAACAGACCAGUAACUAGAAAAGAGAGAGGUUUUAUUCUUUUUUAUAAGUGAGAGAUGUGAGCACGUUAAUAGGAACACUUGGUGUCAGUGAAGAGGGAGAGGUUAAAAAAAAUACAGGAAGGCUGGAUGCAGUGGCUCAUGCCUGUAAUCCUAGCACUUUGGAAGGCUGAGGCAGGCAGAUCGGCUGAGGCAGGCAGAUCACCUGAGGUCGGGAGUUCAAGAUCAACCUGACCAACAUGGAGAAACCCUGUCUCUACCAAAAAUAGAAAAUUAGCCUGGUGUGGUGGUGCAUGCCUGUAACCCCAGCUACUUGGGAGGCUGAGGCAGGAAAAUCACUUGAACCCGGGAGGCAGAGGUUGCAGUGAGCUGAGAUAGCACCAUUGCAUUCCAGCCUGGGCAACAAGAGUGAAACUCCAUCUCAAAAAAUAAAAAAUAAAAAAAGUACCGGAAAGAGAAGAUAUUUGAUGAAGCAGUGUUCUGAGUGAACCAGAAUAAUGAAAAAGUUGCUUAGAACCUACAGCAUGAUAUGUCUAAAACUAGAGCAAGGUUUCCCGGCCUGGGCACUCCGGACAUGUGGAGACAGUUCUUUGUUACGGGGUGGUGCUGCCCUAUGCACUAUAGAAUAUUUAGCAGCACCCUAAUCUAAUAUUCACUGGAUGCCAGCAGCACCCCACACCAAGUUGUGAUAACCAAAAAGUGUCUCCAAAAACUGCUAACUGUCCCCCGGCUGGAGAAAAAGCAAAAUCAACUCCAGCUGAGAACCACUGGUCUUGAGGCAGAGACCAGAUUAUUUAAAUGAGCUGAGAGGUUACUAAAACAAAUUACUAUAGUCCCAUCUACUAGUUACAUAAGGAAAAGAGGCAAGUUUCUCUGCUGGGAGGGAAGUAAGGUGGUAAAGGUGGCAUGUGUUGUGGUGAGUAGAAAAGUUUUGGAAUAACUUGGUGAAAUUCACCUAUGGGAAGGCAAAACUGGGUAUCAGAAAUACUUUUACUCCUCCUAGACUUAAAAGGCAAGUGUAUGCCUCGUCCCUUU